CCCUUAGAUGUUCUGGGCCGCACGCGUGCUACACUGAGUGGAUCAGCGGGUCAGGUUGCGCGAAAGUGUUUCCUAAUCUUGAAAUCCGCUCGUGAUGGGGAUUGACGGUUGCAAUUUUCUGUCAUGAACGAGGAAUACCUUGUAAGCGCGGGUCAUCAUCCCGCGCUGAAUACGUCCCUGCCCUUUGUACACACCGCCCGUCGCUCCUACCGAUUGAGUGGUCCGGUGAGGCUUUGGGAUCUGAGCGGAAAGAGCGUUUCGCUGUUUCUGCCCGGAAAACUCAGUCGAACCUUAUCAUUUAGAGGAAGGAGAAGUCGUAACA
RNAcentral lists this ribosomal RNA (322 nucleotides) under uncultured eukaryote. RNAcentral describes it as "partial 18S ribosomal RNA". It matches the Rfam family "Eukaryotic small subunit ribosomal RNA", at positions 1470 to 1796 of the family's 1831-position model. The record is from RNAcentral.